This 249-nucleotide long non-coding RNA is filed under the name Mytilus galloprovincialis (Mediterranean mussel). Lineage: Eukaryota; Metazoa; Mollusca; Bivalvia; Mytilida; Mytilidae. The record is from RNAcentral.
CAUCAAUUAAGGAUAAAGAUAAGCUAAAAAUAUUAAUAGGUCAUAGACCUCCUUUUCGAGAUAUUUGAGAUUGAAAAUAUGGCGGGAAAAGGCUGACUCGGACUUUUACCUUAUAUUUGCAUUGGUAUUAUUUGGGUCUCAUAACAAAAGAAAGAAAAUCAAGAAUCUUCUAAAAUUUUGGUAAAUGACCUUUCAUGAGCUAUUAAGUCUUAUAUGAAAAAUAAAUGGGUGUUAUGGGGCAAAAUAUUU